AGAUUAGCCAUGCAUGUGUAAGUAUAAGCGACUUUAUACUGUGAAACUGCGAACGGCUCAUUAUAUCAGUUAUAGUUUAUUUGAUAAAUAUCUUACUACUUGGAUAACCGUAGUAAUUCUAGAGCUAAUACAUGCACCAAGUCCCGACCUCACGGAAGGGAUGUAUUUAUUAGAUAUCAGCCAUCUCGCUUCGGCGGUUUUUGGUGAGUCAUAAUAACUUUGCGAAUCGCAGGGGCCUAGUGCCGGCGAUGAAUCAUUCAAGUUUCUGCCCUAUCAGCUUUCGAUGGUAGUGUAUUGGACUACCAUGGCGGUGACGGGUAACGGAGAAUUAGGGUUCGAUUCCGGAGAGGGAGCCUGAGAGAUGGCUACCACAUCCAAGGAAGGCAGCAGGCGCGUAAAUUACCCAAUCCCAAUUCGGGGAGGUAGUGACAAUAAAUAUCAAUGCGGGGCCCAACGGGUCUUGCAAUUGGAAUGAGUACAAUUUAAAUCCCUUAACGAGGAUCAAUUGGAGGGCAAGUCUGGUGCCAGCAGCCGCGGUAAUUCCAGCUCCAAUAGCGUAUAUUAAAGUUGUUGCAGUUAAAAAGCUCGUAGUUGGAUUUCUGGGCUGAGCGACCGGUCCGCCGCUGUGCGGUGUGUACUCGUGUUCGACUCGGCUCAUCCUUGUGGGGAAACGCAUUUCGGCAUUAGGUUGUCGAGGCGGGGAACCGCAUCGUUUACUGUGAAAAAAUUAGAGUGUUUAAAGCAGGCAAAUUGCUGUGAAUACAUUAGCAUGGAAUAAUAACAUAGGACUUUGGUUCUAUUUUGUUGGUUGGAGGCCAAGGUAAUGAUUAAUAGGGAUAGUUGGGGGUAUUCAUAUUUAAUUGUCAGAGGUGAAAUUCUUGGAUUUAUGAAAGAUGAACUCAUGCGAAAGCAUUUACCAAGGGAUGUUUUCAUUAAUCAAGAACGAAAGUUAGGGGAUCGAAGAGGAUUAGAUACCCUCGUAGUCUUAACCAUAAACUAUGCCGACUAGGGAUUGGAGGAGUAUUUUUAAUGGCUCCUUCAGCACCUU
This 1048-nucleotide ribosomal RNA is filed under the name uncultured eukaryote. RNAcentral describes it as "SSU rRNA". It matches the Rfam family "Eukaryotic small subunit ribosomal RNA", at positions 41 to 1089 of the family's 1831-position model. The record is from RNAcentral.